Long non-coding RNA from Lepisosteus oculatus (spotted gar), 845 nucleotides. RefSeq lists it as uncharacterized. Lineage: Eukaryota; Metazoa; Chordata; Actinopteri; Semionotiformes; Lepisosteidae. The record is from RefSeq and is a predicted model, not a curated record.
UGAGGAAUAAACAAAUCCACUGCCAGACUGGGAAGUAAGGUGAAGCCCUGACAUACAAACCCUGGAAUAAAAUUGAACAGGACAUUGUUUUUAAUAAAGCAAACUUUCAAUGCUAGUAACAAAAAAAAAGUGAACUUUUCAUUUUAAAAUUUGUUCAAGCGAGAUGAAACUCAGUAAAUGAUACAACAUUUCUGGAUUGCAGUGGAAGUGAAGGAAAAAACUAGCAGAAUCCUGGCAACUCAACUCUGUGAGGCAGCAAUGAUGGAAAAUUGACAGCCUCAUUACUUACUUUCUCAUCAAAGGUGUGGAUCUAUGGAAGAUGGCCCUGUAUAGGACUGCCAUUCUGCCUUGGAAUCUACCUUCAGGCUAGAUUUUCCUUUAAAAGCUCUUCUCCCUUUGACAUACUUCCAUCUUAAAGAACCAUCUCCUAGACAACAUUGAUUUUAGAUCUGGCUACCUGGAAUCUUCAGAAGACAAGACAUGGAUUUAAGAAAGAUCUCACAUCAGUUAUGGUAGCCAUGUAAAAGGUAAAACUCACUGAAAGCAGAUAUGCUUUGAAAACAGGUUAUCAGUCACCCUCGUGAUGGAAAGUGCCCUUAGGCAUACAACACACAAUGGAAGUUAAAAUAAAAUGCAAUACUCUCUUACUCACCUAAACCUCCUAGAUUUUUUUUGUCUUUGAUAAAGUGCAUUGGUUGAACUGUGUAUCCAUGCUUUGGGCUGGCAUUUAGUAUAGUAGUUAGGCCAGAGCAUAGAACUCUUAACUUGUUUUGGGUUCAUGUCCCUGCUACAGACAAUUCUGUUGUACCCUGUAGCAUUGUAUUGAAGUGGUUCCAAUUCACCCA